This 410-nucleotide ribosomal RNA is filed under the name uncultured bacterium. RNAcentral describes it as "bacterial SSU rRNA". It matches the Rfam family "Bacterial small subunit ribosomal RNA", at positions 29 to 415 of the family's 1533-position model. The record is from RNAcentral.
AACGAACGCUGGCGGCGUGGAUGAGGCAUGCAAGUCGAGCGGUAGCAGAAAGAAGCUUGCUUCUUUUGCUGACGAGCGGCGAACGGGUGAGGAAUGCUUGAGCAACCUGCCCUGAAGUUCGGAAUAGCUGUGGGAAACUGCAGGUAAUGCCGGAUGUGAUAAUCCUGGGCAUCCAGGUGAAUUUAAAGGCGGGGAUCCUUCGGGACCUGUCGCUUCAGGAUGGGCUCAAGCCCUAUCAGCUUGUUGGUGAGGUAAUGGCUCACCAAGGCUAAGACGGGUAGCUGGUCUGAGAGGAUGGUCAGCCACACUGGGACUGAGACACUGCCCAGACUCCUACGGGAGGCUGCAGUCGAGAAUCAUUGUCAAUGCGCGAAAGCGUGAACAUGCGACGCCGCGUGGAGGAUGAAGGC